This 267-nucleotide ribosomal RNA is filed under the name uncultured bacterium. RNAcentral describes it as "partial 16S ribosomal RNA". It matches the Rfam family "Bacterial small subunit ribosomal RNA", at positions 87 to 354 of the family's 1533-position model. The record is from RNAcentral.
UUAAGUUAGUGGCGGACGGGUGAGUAACGCGUGGGCAACCUGCCCCAUACCGGGGGAUACCAGCCGGAAACGGCUGCUAAUACCGCAUAAGCGCACGGUAUCGCAUGAUACAGUGUGAAAAGCUCCGGUGGUAUGGGAUGGACCCGCGUCCGAUUAGCCAGUUGGCGGGGUAGAGGCCCACCAAAACGACGAUCGGUAGCCGGCCUGAGAGGGCGGACGGCCACAUUGGGACUGAGACACGGCCCAAACUCCUACGGAAGGCAGCAG